RNAcentral lists this ribosomal RNA (370 nucleotides) under uncultured eukaryote. Its description in RNAcentral is "partial 18S ribosomal RNA". It matches the Rfam family "Eukaryotic small subunit ribosomal RNA", at positions 592 to 976 of the family's 1831-position model. The record is from RNAcentral.
CAAUAGCGUAUAUUAAAGUUGUUGCAGUUAAAAAGCUCGUAGUUGGAUUUCUGGUCGGAAGCUCCUGUCCUCUGAUGAGCGUACAAGUGCGUCCUACCAUCCUUCUGUUAACCUUUAAGGCUUUCGCGGCUUUCUAGGGGCUCAGAUAUUUUACCUUGAGAAAAUUAGAGUGUUUCAGGCAGGCUAGCGCCGGAAUACAUUAGCAUGGAAUAAUGGAAUAGGACUUUUGCCUCUUCUGUUGGUCAUGAGGCUCGAGUAAUGAUUAAUAGGGAUAGUUGGGGGCAUUAGUACUUAACUGUCAGAGGUGAAAUUCUCGGAUUUGUUAAAGACUAACUUAUGCGAAANCANNNGCCAAGGAUGUUUACAUNAA